CCUACGGGUGGCAGCAGUGAGGAAUAUUGGGCAAUGGACGCAAGUCUGAACGAGCCAGGCCGCGUGCAGGAAGACGGCUCUAUGAGUUGUAAACUGCGUUUGUACGAGGGUAAACGCAGAUACGCGUAUCUGUCUGAAAGUAUCGUACGAAUAAGGAUCGGCUAACUCCGUUCCAGCAGCCGCGGUAAGAAGGAGGAUACAAGCGUUGUCCGGAUUUAUUGGGCUGAAAGGGUGCGUAGGCGGGCGGAUAAGUUAGAGGUGAAAUCCCGAGGCUCAACUUCGGACUUGCCUCUGAUACUGUUCGGCUAGAGUGUAGUUGCGGUAGGCGGAAUGUAUGGUGUAGCGGUGAAAUGCUUAGAGAUCAUACAGAACACCGAUUGCGAAGGCAGCUUACCAAGCUACUUCUGACGUUGAGGCACGAAAGCGUGGGGAGCAAACAGGAUUAGAUACCCCAGUAGUC
This 460-nucleotide ribosomal RNA is filed under the name uncultured bacterium. RNAcentral describes it as "partial 16S ribosomal RNA". It matches the Rfam family "Bacterial small subunit ribosomal RNA", at positions 338 to 795 of the family's 1533-position model. The record is from RNAcentral.